Molecule: long non-coding RNA, 318 nt
Organism: Rhagoletis pomonella (apple maggot)
Lineage: Eukaryota; Metazoa; Arthropoda; Insecta; Diptera; Tephritidae
Exons: 3
Source: RefSeq, a predicted model, not a curated record
UUUUGUACAACCUUAAGGAUGAGGGGUAUAAAAAUGCUCUGAAAAAGGAGGAAGUGUGGUUGCAGAUAAGCGAAGUAUUGGGCCAAGAAGCUAAUGUAUGUAAAAAGCGCUGGAAAGGUUUGCGCGACCAUUAUUCGCGGUGCAAACGGGCCGAGACUUUGCCAUCAGGAAGCUCCGCUAGCAAGAGGACGAGAUGGAGGUUCUAUGACCAAAUGUCAUUUUUGGACAACUUCCAGUACUGCCGGAGAACGUGGAGCAAUGUUUUCGAAGUGGAGGAAAGUGUUAUUGAAGUGCAGGGAGAAGAAGACGAAGUACACA